Molecule: ribosomal RNA, 527 nt
Filed under: Termitinae sp. ENT-MG397
Lineage: Eukaryota; Metazoa; Arthropoda; Insecta; Blattodea; Termitidae
Description: partial small subunit ribosomal RNA
Rfam family: Bacterial large subunit ribosomal RNA
Source: RNAcentral
CAUCUUUUCUUGUUAGUUUUUGAAGUAUGGCCUGCCCGCUGACUUAUUGUUGAAGGGCCGCGGUAUUUUGACCGUGCAAAGGUAGCAUAAUCAUUAGUUCUUUAAUUGUGAUCUGGUAUGAAUGGCUUGACGAGGCAUGAGCUGUCUUGAGGGUAUUAUUUGUUGAAUUUAGUUUUUGAGUUAAAAUUCUUAGAUGUUUUUAUGGGACGAGAAGACCCUAUAGAGUUUAACAUUUAUUUUUGUUAUAAUUUUGUUUGUUUUUUCUGUUGACUAGGUUAAGUGUUUUGUUGGGGUGAUGGGAGGAAUUUUUUUAACUCUUCUUUAUUUUUGUAUAUUGAUUAAUAUUUCUUUUGAUCCAUUUAUUUUGAUUAUAAGAUUAAAUUACCUUAGGGAUAACAGCGUUAUCUUCCUUGAGAGUUCUUAUUGGCGGGGAGGUUUGCGACCUCGAUGUUGGAUUAAGGUGAAUUUUCGGUGCAGGAGCUGAAAGUGAUUAGGUCUGUUCGACCUUUAAAAUCUUACGUGAUCUG